This 300-nucleotide ribosomal RNA is filed under the name uncultured Prevotella sp. Its description in RNAcentral is "bacterial SSU rRNA". The stretch from base 52 to 300 matches the Rfam family "Bacterial small subunit ribosomal RNA", at positions 547 to 795 of the family's 1533-position model. Lineage: Bacteria; Pseudomonadati; Bacteroidota; Bacteroidia; Bacteroidales; Prevotellaceae. The record is from RNAcentral.
GGUAAUGGUGGGCGUGCAUGCGGGGGAAUGCGGGGGGUGCGGUGGGUAAUCGGAGUGUCGGGGCGUGAAGCGGGCGUAGGCGGCGGAUUAAGUCGGAUGGGAAAUCCCUGAGCUUAACUUAGGAAUUGCAUUCGAUACUGGUCAGCUAGAGGAUGGGAGAGGAUGGUAGAAUUCCAGGUGUAGCGGUGAAAUGCGUAGAGAUCUGGAGGAAUACCGAUGGCGAAGGCAGCCAUCUGGCCUAAUACUGACGCUGAGGUACGAAAGCAUGGGGAGCAAACAGGAUUAGAUACCCCAGUAGUC